This 447-nucleotide ribosomal RNA is filed under the name uncultured bacterium. RNAcentral describes it as "bacterial SSU rRNA". It matches the Rfam family "Bacterial small subunit ribosomal RNA", at positions 329 to 793 of the family's 1533-position model. The record is from RNAcentral.
GUCCAGACUCCUACGGGAGGCAGCAGUGGGGAAUAUUGCACAAUGGGGGAAACCCUGAUGCAGCAACGCCGCGUGAGUGAAGAAGUAUUUCGGUAUGUAAAGCUCUAUCAGCAGGGAAGAAAAUGACGGUACCUGAGUAAGAAGCCCCGGCUAACUACGUGCCAGCAGCCGCGGUAAUACGUAGGGGGCAAGCGUUAUCCGGAUUUACUGGGUGUAAAGGGAGCGUAGACGGCGAUGCAAGUCUGAAGUGAAAGCCCAGGGCUCAACCCCGGGACUGCUUUGGAAACUGUAUGGCUGGAGUGCUGGAGAGGCAAGCGGAAUUCCUAGUGUAGCGGUGAAAUGCGUAGAUAUUAGGAAGAACACCAGUGGCGAAGGCGGCUUGCUGGACAGUAACUGACGUUGAGGCUCGAAAGCGUGGGGAGCAAACAGGAUUAGAUACCCUUGUAC